Molecule: ribosomal RNA, 252 nt
Filed under: uncultured Gardnerella sp.
Lineage: Bacteria; Bacillati; Actinomycetota; Actinomycetes; Bifidobacteriales; Bifidobacteriaceae
Description: partial 16S ribosomal RNA
Rfam family: Bacterial small subunit ribosomal RNA
Source: RNAcentral
CGGGUGAGUAAUGCGUGACCGACCUGCCCCAUGCUCCAGAAUAGCUCUUGGAAACGGGUGGUAAUGCUGGAUGCUCCAACUUGACGCAUGUCUUGUUGGGAAAGUGUUUAGUGGCAUGGGAUGGGGUCGCGUCCUAUCAGCUUGUAGGCGGGGUAAUGGCCCACCUAGGCUUCGACGGGUAGCCGGCCUGAGAGGGCGGACGGCCACAUUGGGACUGAGAUACGGCCCAGACUCCUACGGGAGGCAGCAGAU